UUCUGUAAGGGACCAUCUUUGUCUCUUGACCUUUUACCUUAGCCAAAUGAGUUCUUUGAUGAUGCAUUGCUUGAUUCACGUUCCAGAACUAAUGAAUGUUAAAGGGAUUGGUAGAUUUGAAAACUUGUGUAGGUCGAGCAUAUGAGUCGGAUUGAUUGAUUGAUGAGGCAUGGCUAACGUUUUUAAGUAGAAUUUGAUCUUGCAGCUUAGAACUUUCAACUUGGACAUUGAUUUCAUCUGGUUUAUCUAGUGCUUUGGCUCUGAGUCCCCGCUUUCAAACCUCACCUCCAGCUUGUUCUUGAUUGUUUGCUUGAGGGCAAGCAAAGACUAAGUUUGGGGGAGUUGAUAAGUGUGUAUUUUGCAUGUUUUGAGCAUCCAUUUGUCAUCACUUUAGCAUCAUAUCAUCACUGUUUUAUACCAUUUCACAUCAUUUGUCAUCACUUUGCAUGUUAAGGAUAGUUUUGCAUGCAUGUUGCAUAUUUGCGUUGAUUUUCUGUUUUCUGCAUGUUCAUUUAGGACUGCUAGAACACACCAAAACCUGUUAUGCUUGGCUUGACUUAGUGACUUCUGAUCACAUCUUGAUUGUUAGCAUCACACCCAUUUGGAUUGACAACCUAAAAUACUACAACGACAUGAUUGGUGUUAUAGGAUAAUUGACCAAAAAAAACCUACUAUCAGUUUGCAGGAAGAGAAAUUGGGAAGACCGUUCCAUCUUGGUGAGGUGUUCAUCCAGACACACACUAAGUCGGAUGGCACUUAUGUUGAUCGGAAGGCGGAGAAGAUUGCUCAAACUUAUGGGCAGAAUGUGAGAUCAAAGCUGUCUGAACUGGAGGCUGCAGCUUCUACUGUCUCUAAUGGCACUUC
This 864-nucleotide small RNA is filed under the name Arabidopsis thaliana (thale cress). RNAcentral's name for it is "ATSL264460". The record is from RNAcentral. Lineage: Eukaryota; Viridiplantae; Streptophyta; Magnoliopsida; Brassicales; Brassicaceae.